This 711-nucleotide long non-coding RNA is filed under the name Brassica napus (rape). RNAcentral describes it as "long non-coding RNA (BNAP_LNC013992)". The record is from RNAcentral. Lineage: Eukaryota; Viridiplantae; Streptophyta; Magnoliopsida; Brassicales; Brassicaceae.
CCGUCGAUGAAACUGGUGUAUGGGUCGACGGUGGUUGACGAAAAUUGACCAACAAACUGUUCUUGUUGUUGAUCGAUGAGGAGCGUCUUCCUUUGAGGAUUGAACGUUCCAAACUUGCAGGGUCUAAUGAGAAUAACAGUCGAGUUUCCUUGUUGCUUCAGGUACUGCUGGGCAUGUACCUGAAAAGACAAGAAAACAUUUUUGUGUCAGAGAGUGGUAUUAAGAAGAAGACUAGAAUAAAUCGAAUUAAAUCUAUCAAGCAAUCAAAGCUCCCGGCAACGGCACCAAAUUUGAUCUUCACUCAAAUUAUCCUAAGGAGUGAAUUACUCUCUCAAAUAAGAGGUUCAUUUGUAGUACUUAGGGAUCAAAUUCUCAGGGAGCUAGGGAACCUAAUAAAUCUAAUUAAGUUGAUUAAGCUAGGUUGAUUAUGAUUAAAUGUAAAAGAUAGGUUUGUGAGCAACUUAAUUGCUCGAUUGAUCAAUUGGGGUUUUGGUACGUAGAUGAAAAUAGCGAAACUUAGGGUUUUUAUUCAGGUAAUCAGGAUUAUAAUCCGACCGAUGCCUAAUAAGUUGUAUGCAUGAUAUUAUAGAGCUCAACACGUAAUAACAAACCAUUAGGCUCUCGCUUUCUAGGUUUGUCUAUUGACCAUUGUCGAUCGAUUAUUCUAUAGGAAUAUCGAUCGAUACACUUGUUGCAACGUCGACCGAUUAU